RNAcentral lists this ribosomal RNA (238 nucleotides) under uncultured bacterium. Its description in RNAcentral is "partial 16S ribosomal RNA". It matches the Rfam family "Bacterial small subunit ribosomal RNA", at positions 98 to 334 of the family's 1533-position model. The record is from RNAcentral.
CCGCACGGGUGAGUAACACGUAUCCAACCUGCCGUCUACUCUUGGCCAGCCUUCUGAAAGGAAGAUUAAUCCAGGAUGGCAUCAUGAGUUCACAUGUACGCAUGAUUAAAGGUAUUUUCCGGUAGACGAUGGGGAUGCGUUCCAUUAGAUAGUAGGCGGGGUAACGGCCCACCUAGUCAACGAUGGAUAGGGGUUCUGAGAGGAAGGUCCCCCACAUUGGAACUGAGACACGGUCCAA